This 1382-nucleotide ribosomal RNA is filed under the name uncultured bacterium. RNAcentral describes it as "bacterial SSU rRNA". It matches the Rfam family "Bacterial small subunit ribosomal RNA", at positions 18 to 1396 of the family's 1533-position model. The record is from RNAcentral.
CCUGGCUCCGUUAAGGGCUAGCUACAGGCUUAACACAUGCAAGGCGAGCGUUAGCAUGGUCUUAGCUUGCUAAGGCCGAUGGCGACCGGCGCACGGGUGAGUAACACGUAUCCAACCUGCCGUCUACUCUUGGACAGCCUUCUGAAAGGAAGAUUAAUACAAGAUGGCAUCAUGAGUCCGCAUGUUCACAUGAUUAAAGGUAUUCCGGUAGACGAUGGGGAUGCGUUCCAUUAGAUAGUAGGCGGGGUAACGGCCCACCUAGUCUUCGAUGGAUAGGGGUUCUGAGAGGAAGGUCCCCCACAUUGGAACUGAGACACGGUCCAAACUCCUACGGGAGGCAGCAGUGAGGAAUAUUGGUCAAUGGGCGAGAGCCUGAACCAGCCAAGUAGCGUGAAGGAUGACUGCCCUAUGGGUUGUAAACUUCUUUUAUAAAGGAAUAAAGUCGGGUAUGGAUACCCGUUUGCAUGUACUUUAUGAAUAAGGAUCGGCUAACUCCGUGCCAGCAGCCGCGGUAAUACGGAGGAUCCGAGCGUUAUCCGGAUUUAUUGGGUUUAAAGGGAGCGUAGAUGGAUGUUUAAGUCAGUUGUGAAAGUUUGCGGCUCAACCGUAAAAUUGCAGUUGAUACUGGAUAUCUUGAGUGCAGUUUAUGCAGGCGGAAUUCGUGGUGUAGCGGUGAAAUGCUUAGAUAUCACGAAGAACUCCGAUUGCGAAGGCAGCCUGCUAAGCUGCAACUGACAUUGAGGCUCGAAAGUGUGGGUAUCAAACAGGAUUAGAUACCCUGGUAGUCCACACGGUAAACGAUGAAUACUCGCUGUUUGCGAUAUACGGCAAGCGGCCAAGCGAAAGCGUUAAGUAUUCCACCUGGGGAGUACGCCGGCAACGGUGAAACUCAAAGGAAUUGACGGGGGCCCGCACAAGCGGAGGAACAUGUGGUUUAAUUCGAUGAUACGCGAGGAACCUUACCCGGGCUUAAAUUGCAGAUGAAUUACGGUGAAAGCCGUAAGCCGCAAGGCAUCUGUGAAGGUGCUGCAUGGUUGUCGUCAGCUCGUGCCGUGAGGUGUCGGCUUAAGUGCCAUAACGAGCGCAACCCUUGUUGUCAGUUACUAACAGGUUCCGCUGAGGACUCUGACAAGACUGCCAUCGUAAGAUGUGAGGAAGGUGGGGAUGACGUCAAAUCAGCACGGCCCUUACGUCCGGGGCUACACACGUGUUACAAUGGGGGGUACAGAGGGCCGCUACCACGCGAGUGGAUGCCAAUCCCCAAAACCUCUCUCAGUUCGGACUGGAGUCUGCAACCCGACUCCACGAAGCUGGAUUCGCUAGUAAUCGCGCAUCAGCCACGGCGCGGUGAAUACGUUCCCGGGCCUUGUACACAACGCCCG